This 358-nucleotide ribosomal RNA is filed under the name uncultured bacterium. RNAcentral's name for it is "bacterial SSU rRNA". It matches the Rfam family "Bacterial small subunit ribosomal RNA", at positions 30 to 372 of the family's 1533-position model. The record is from RNAcentral.
AGUGAACGCUGGCGGCAGGCCUAACACAUGCAAGUCGAGCGGCAGCGGGUCCCCGCGAGGGGAUGCCGGCGAGCGGCGGACGGGUGAGGAACACAUCGGAAUCUGCCUGGUUGUGGGGGAUAACGUAGGGAAACUUACGCUAAUACCGCAUGCGACCCUGAGUCGACGGACUGGGGGUGAAAGUGAGGGACCUUCGGGCCUCACGCGACCAGAUGAGCCGAUGUCGGAUUAGCAGUUGGCGGGGUAACGGCCCGCCAAGGCGACGAUCCGUAGCUGGUCUGAGAGGAUGAUCAGCCACACUGGGACUGAGACACGGCCCAGACUCCUACGGGAGGCAGCAGUGGGAAUCUUGGACAAU